Molecule: ribosomal RNA, 332 nt
Filed under: uncultured bacterium
Lineage: Bacteria
Description: bacterial SSU rRNA
Rfam family: Bacterial small subunit ribosomal RNA
Source: RNAcentral
UGUGUAGGCGGCGGCGUAAGUCGGAUGUGAAAGCCCUGGGCUCAACCCAGGAAGUGCACUCGAUACUGCGUCGCUCGAGUACCGGAGAGGUUGGUAGAAUUCUCGGUGUAGAGGUGAAAUUCGUAGAUAUCGAGAGGAAUACCUGUGGCGAAGGCGGCCAACUGGACGAGUACUGACGCUGAGACACGAAAGCGUGGGGAGCAAACAGGAUUAGAUACCCUGGUAGUCCACGCCGUAAACGAUGGGUGCUAGGUGUCGCAGGCUUUGACUCCUGCGGUGCCGUAGCUAACGCAUUAAGCACCCCGCCUGGGAAGUACGGCCGCAAGGCUAAA